Molecule: long non-coding RNA, 424 nt
Filed under: Medicago truncatula (barrel medic)
Lineage: Eukaryota; Viridiplantae; Streptophyta; Magnoliopsida; Fabales; Fabaceae
Description: long non-coding RNA (MTRU_LNC007702)
Source: RNAcentral
AGGUUAUGUCCCUUACUAAUCUUAGUAGUACAUCAUUUUUGUGUUACUACUAUUUAUUUUUAAUUAUUUGAUGUUUUAUAACACAUCAUUUUCAACAACUAAUAAAAAAAAAAAAAAAAAAAAAUUGUCCAAAUUUGUUUGGAGUGAAUAAUUUAAUUUUGUGAUUUGGGCAUGCAGGUGUUAUAAAUUUGAAGUUAAGGUGCAAUGGGUUAUGAGAAGCUUGACGUGAAGAUUGUGGUGGUUGGUCAUGUGGAUUCUGAGAAAUCAACCAACAGUACUGAGGAACCCAACAAGGCUGUUGUUGUGGAGGAGAACCAAGCUGAUGAGAUGAAUUAAUGUUAUAUGAGGUCCUUUAAUGAUCUCAGUGUGCAAAAAAGGGUACUAGAAAAUUAGUAAUGUUGAAAGAAAUAAAUAAUCUGGUACC